GUUUCGGUGGUCAUAGCGUGAGGGAAACGCCCGGUUACAUUCCGAACCCGGAAGCUAAGCCUCAGAGCGCCCAUGGUACUGCAGGGGGGACCCUGUGGGAGAGUAGGACGCCGCCGAACA
RNAcentral lists this ribosomal RNA (120 nucleotides) under Streptomyces nodosus. The record is from RNAcentral. Lineage: Bacteria; Bacillati; Actinomycetota; Actinomycetes; Kitasatosporales; Streptomycetaceae.